RNAcentral lists this ribosomal RNA (1990 nucleotides) under human gut metagenome. Its description in RNAcentral is "bacterial LSU rRNA". It matches the Rfam family "Bacterial large subunit ribosomal RNA", at positions 1 to 2004 of the family's 2925-position model. The record is from RNAcentral.
GAAAGUAAAGAAGGGCGCAUGGCGGAUGCCUUGGCUCUCGGAGGCGAUGAAGGACGUGAUAAGCUGCGAUAAGCUUUGGGGAGGUGCAAAUGACCUUUGAUCCAGAGAUUUCCGAAUGGGACAACCCAAUAUCUUGAAGAGGUAUUAUCCAACGUUGUUGGAGGCUAACGCAGGGAACUGAAACAUCUUAGUACCUGCAGGAAAAGAAAAUAAACAAUGAUUCCCCCAGUAGUGGCGAGCGAACGGGGAACAGCCCAAACCAUCCAUGUUACGGCAUGUGUGGGGUUGUAGGACUACGCCGUUGCAUGAAGACAUCAGAGAAGAACUUUCUGGAAAGAAAGACCAUAGAGCAUGACAGUUGCGUAUUCGAAUGUUGUCGAAGCAUAGUAGUAUCCUGAGUAGCGCGGAGCACGAGGAAUUCUGCGUGAAUCUGCCGGGACCAUCCGGUAAGGCUAAAUACUCCCGAGAGACCGAUAGCGAACCAGUACCGUGAGGGAAAGGUGAAAAGCACUUCGAACAGAAGAGUGAAAUAGUUCCUGAAACCGUGCGCCUACAAGCGGUCGGAGCUCGUUAAUGAGUGACGGCGUGCCUUUUGCAUAAUGAACCUACGAGUUGCCUUUGCCGGCAAGGUUAAGUGUGACGACACACGUAUCCGAAGCGAAAGCGAGUCUGAACAGGGCGUAUAGUCGGCAGUGGCAGACGCGAAACCAAGUGAUCUACCCUUGGCCAGGUUGAAGGCUGGGUAACACCAGCUGGAGGACCGCACCAAUAAGCGUUGAAAAGCUUCUGGAUGAGCUGAGGGUAGGGGUGAAAGGCUAAUCAAACUUGGAGAUAGCUCGUACUCCCCGAAAUGCAUUUAGGUGCAGCCUUGCGGGUUACUGAUGUGAGGUAGAGCGACUGAUAAGAUGCGAGGGCUUCACCGCCUAUCAAGUCUUGACAAACUCCGAAUGCGCAUCAGUUCUACCGCAGGAGUGAGGGCAUGGGUGCUAAGGUCCGUGCCCGAGAGGAGAAGAAUCCGGACCACCUGCUAAGGUCCCGAAAUGACAGCUAAGUUAAACUAACGAAGUCUGACUGCUAAGACAGCUAGGAUGUUGGCUUGGAAGCAGCCAUUCAUUUAAAGAGUGCGUAACAGCUCACUAGUCGAGGAGUUUGGCGUGGAUAAUAAUCGGGCAUCAAGCAAUUUACCGAAGCUAUGGGAUCAGUAAUGAUCGGUAGGGGAGCAUUCCACUCUGCGUCGAAGGUGAAGCGUGAGCUUUGCUGGAGCGUGUGGAAAAGCAAAUGUAGGUAUAAGUAACGAUAAAGGGGGUGAGAAACCCCCUCGCCGAAAGACUAAGGUUUCCUGAUCAACGCUAAUCGGAUCAGGGUCAGUCGGGUCCUAAGGCUCAGCCGAACGGCGAUGCCGAUGGCAGAAACGGUUAAUAUUCCGUUACUACCUUCAGGAGUGACGUGGAGACGCAGUAGUGACAGUGCCGCCAUCUGACGGAAUAGAUGGUUGAAGGGUGUAGGAGUCGAUCAUGGCAGGCAAAUCCACCAUGAGAUCCGAACCUGAUAGUAUGCCGCGUCCUUCGGGACAAGGCAAUAGUGCGCGUAAGCAUGCUGCCGAGAAAAUCCGCUAAACUUAAUCCUGCAGGUACCCGUACCGCAAACGGACACACGUAGUCGGGAUGAAUAUUCUAAGGCGCUUGAGUGAUUCACGGUUAAGGAACUAGGCAAACUGACCCUGUAACUUCGGGAUAAAGGGUCCCUACCCUUUUAUGGGAGGGCGCAGAGAAUCGGUCCAGGCAACUGUUUAACAAAAACACAGGGCUGUGCGAAGUCGAAAGACGCUGUAUACAGCCUGACACCUGCCCGGUGCUGGAAGGUUAAGAGGAGAUGUCAUCGCAAGAGAAGCAUUGAAUUGAAGCCCCAGUAAACGGCGGCCGUAACUAUAACGGUCCUAAGGUAGCGAAAUUCCUUGUCGGGUAAGUUCCGACCUGCACGAAUGGUGUAA